GAAAAAUUAGUUAAAUUCAUAAUACAAGCUUGUCAAGCUUGAGUUGUCUUAGGGACAUUUUUCU
This 64-nucleotide transfer RNA is filed under the name Panulirus homarus (Indian spiny lobster). RNAcentral's name for it is "tRNA-Asp". Lineage: Eukaryota; Metazoa; Arthropoda; Malacostraca; Decapoda; Palinuridae. The record is from RNAcentral.